GUCAGGAUGGCCAAGUGGUCUAAGGCAUUGCAUUCAGGUUGCGUCUUCCCUCAAGGCAUGGGUUCGAAUCUCACUUCUGAUA
This 82-nucleotide transfer RNA is filed under the name Ovis aries (sheep). It matches the Rfam family "tRNA". Rfam says of the family: Transfer RNA (tRNA) molecules are approximately 80 nucleotides in length. Their secondary structure includes four short double-helical elements and three loops (D, anti-codon, and T loops). The record is from Rfam by way of RNAcentral. Lineage: Eukaryota; Metazoa; Chordata; Mammalia; Artiodactyla; Bovidae.